RNAcentral lists this ribosomal RNA (468 nucleotides) under uncultured bacterium. RNAcentral describes it as "partial 16S ribosomal RNA". It matches the Rfam family "Bacterial small subunit ribosomal RNA", at positions 28 to 507 of the family's 1533-position model. The record is from RNAcentral.
GACGAACGCUGGCGGCGUGCUUAACACAUGCAAGUCGAACGGAAAGGCCCUGCUUUUGUGGGGUGCUCGAGUGGCGAACGGGUGAGUAACACGUGAGUAACUUGCCCUUGACUUUGGGAUAACUUCAGGAAACUGGGGCUAAUACCGGAUAGGAGCUCCUGCUGCAUGGUGGGGGUUGGAAAGUUUCGGCGGUUGGGGAUGGACUCGCGGCUUAUCAGCUUGUUGGUGGGGUAGUGGCUUACCAAGGCUUUGACGGGUAGCCGGUCUGAGAGGGUGACCGGCCACAUUGGGACUGAGAUACGGCCCAGACUCCUACGGGAGGCAGCAGUGGGGAAUAUUGCACAAUGGGCGGAAGCCUGAUGCAGCAACGCCGCGUGCGGGAUGACGGCCUUCGGGUUGUAAACCGCUUUCGCCUGUGACGAAGCGUGAGUGACGGUAAUGGGUAAAGAAGCACCGGCUAACUACGUG